Molecule: ribosomal RNA, 255 nt
Filed under: uncultured bacterium
Lineage: Bacteria
Description: partial 16S ribosomal RNA
Source: RNAcentral
CUGCUGCCUUCCGUAGGAGUUUGGGCCGUGUCUCAGUCCCAAUGUGGCCGUUCACCCUCUCAGGCCGGCUACUGAUCGUCGCCUUGGUGGGCUUCUACCCCGCCAACCAGCUAAUCAGACGCGGAUCCAUCUUACACCACCGGAGUUUUUCACACUGAGCCAUGCGGCUCUGUGCGCUUAUGCGGUAUUAGCACCUAUUUCUAAGUGUUAUCCCCCAGUGUAAGGCAGGUUAUCCACGCGUUACUCACCCGUCCG